This 373-nucleotide ribosomal RNA is filed under the name uncultured bacterium. RNAcentral's name for it is "bacterial SSU rRNA". It matches the Rfam family "Bacterial small subunit ribosomal RNA", at positions 525 to 896 of the family's 1533-position model. The record is from RNAcentral.
ACGAGGGGUCCAAGCGUUGUUCGGAAUCAUUGGGCGUAAAGCGGGUGUAGGCGGCCUUAUAAGUCAGAAGUGAAAGCCCUGGGCUCAACCCGGGAAGUGCUUUUGAUACUGCAAGGCUUGAAUGUGGGAGAGGGUAGUGGAAUUCCUGGUGUAGUGGUGAAAUACGUAGAUAUCAGGAGGAACACCGGUGGCGAAGGCGGCUACCUGGCCCAACAUUGACGCUGAGACCCGAAAGCAUGGGGAUCAAACAGGAUUAGAUACCCUGGUAGUCCAUGCCAUAAACGAUGGAUACUUGGUGUUGGAGGUAUUGACCCCUUCAGUGCCGAAGCUAACGCGUUAAGUAUCCCGCCUGGGGAGUACGGCCGCAAGGUUA